UCCGUAGGUGAACCUGCGGAGGGAUCAUUACAGAGUUGCAAAACUCCCCAAACCAUUGUGAACGUUACCUUCAAACCGUUGCUUCGGCGGGCGGCCCGGGUCCGCCCGGUGCCCCCUGGCCCCCUAGCGGGGCGCCCGCCGGAGGAAAACCCAACUCUUGAUUAUUAUGGCCUCUCUGAGUCUUCUGUACUGAAUAAGUCAAAACUUUCAACAACGGAUCUCUUGGUUCUGGCAUCGAUGAAGAACGCAGCGAAAUGCGAUAAGUAAUGUGAAUUGCAGAAUUCAGUGAAUCAUCGAAUCUUUGAACGCACAUUGCGCCCGCCAGUAUUCUGGCGGGCAUGCCUGUUCGAGCGUCAUUUCAACCAUCAAGCCCCGCGCUUGUGUUGGGGACCUGCGGCUGCCGCAGGCCCUGAAAACCAGUGGCGGGCUCGCUGUCACACCGGGCGUAGUAGAUUUUAUCUCGCUCAGGGCGUGCUGCGGGUUCCGGCCGUUAAAAAGCCUUUUUUACCCAAGGUGACCUCGGAU
Molecule: ribosomal RNA, 525 nt
Filed under: Pezizomycotina sp. 7R10-6
Lineage: Eukaryota; Fungi; Ascomycota
Description: eukaryotic LSU rRNA
Rfam family: 5.8S ribosomal RNA (bases 203-356)
Source: RNAcentral